This 497-nucleotide ribosomal RNA is filed under the name uncultured bacterium. Its description in RNAcentral is "partial 16S ribosomal RNA". It matches the Rfam family "Bacterial small subunit ribosomal RNA", at positions 28 to 507 of the family's 1533-position model. The record is from RNAcentral.
GACGAACGCUGGCGGCGUGCCUAAUACAUGCAAGUUGAGCGCUGAAGGUUGGUACUUGUACCAACUGGAUGAGCAGCGAACGGGUGAGUAACGCGUGGGGAAUCUGCCUUUGAGCGGGGGACAACAUUUGGAAACGAAUGCUAAUACCGCAUAAAAACUUUAAACACAAGUUUUAAGUUUGAAAGAUGCAAUUGCAUCACUCAAAGAUGAUCCCGCGUUGUAUUAGCUAGUUGGUGAGGUAAAGGCUCACCAAGGCGAUGAUACAUAGCCGACCUGAGAGGGUGAUCGGCCACAUUGGGACUGAGACACGGCCCAAACUCCUACGGGAGGCAGCAGUAGGGAAUCUUCGGCAAUGGACGAAAGUCUGACCGAGCAACGCCGCGUGAGUGAAGAAGGGUUUAGGAUCGUAAAACUCUGUUGGUAGAGAAGAACGUUGGUGAGAGUGGAAAGCUCAUCAAGUGACGGUAACUACCCAGAAAGGGACGGCUAACUACGUG